Molecule: long non-coding RNA, 818 nt
Filed under: Mytilus galloprovincialis (Mediterranean mussel)
Lineage: Eukaryota; Metazoa; Mollusca; Bivalvia; Mytilida; Mytilidae
Source: RNAcentral
CAGUGAACCAAUUCUUUUUUUAAUUCAAUAACAAUUAACCCUUCAAUUUCAACAGUCUGUAGAAAGUUUUCUGAUGCCGUGUUACAUUACACUAUCUCCUGCUGAGAUGAAUUAAUUGGUUAAACUGACUAGAAAGAUGAAGAGAAUCUAGUAUGGGUCAAUAGAUGUUAUAGGAGGUUUUAAGAAUAGUUGGCACUGAUUUUUAGAUAAUCUAUAUGUGACCCACAAAAAUCAAUCAAUAGUCUAGAAUACAGCUUACACAAACUAUUAUUUUAUUGCUGCAUUGCUACAAUGGAAAUUGGAAGUUAUAUCCCAGAAUCAAGGAUAUCAAUGAGCCAAAGUUACUGAAAACAAUAAACAAAAGGUAUUUUUUCUGUGACCUUCACCUCCACGUGGUAAUUUAAUUGCAUUGAUGGCUUUAACAUUCUACAUUACAAAAAUUGUAAAAAAUUGAUUUGUUGAAAAUUAGUGACUGCAAGGUUUUGCUAACAUACUACAUGUGUACUCUAAUUCUUACAUGCUUUGCAUAUUUACAAUAAAAUUGAGGAUUGGUCUGUUAAAUUUUUUUCUCCCUUGCAAACUUUGAUAUACCAUGUUGCUGGAACUACUUUUGUAACAUAUGUGAAUACUUUAUCAUUUUCACUGUGAUCUAUUUCCAAUAGAUACAAAAUGCAUGCAUGGUAUAAAUGUAGUCCAGAAAAAAUUUAUAAUUAAAAACAAGAGUGAAUGUCUCACCAGCUUAUUUUUCAAUUAUUAUUAAACAAUAAUGCUGAGGUGAAGGUCAAAUGAACCCUAUUGAAUAUCAAUCAGAUUCUAAG